AUGGGCCGCGGCGGUGCGCGCGACGGCGCCGCCCCGAUGGGCCGCGGCGGUGCGCGCGACGGCGCCGCCGCCGCGCCGCCGUGGCACUCGCUCCCGGACGAGGUCCUGGAGCACGCCUUCUCCUUCCUCCCCGCCGCCGCCGACCGCGGCGCCGCGGCGGCCGUCUGCCACGGCUGGCUCGGGGCCGAGCGCCGCUCCCGGCGCCGCCUCGCCGUCGCCAACUGCUACGCCGCCGCCCCGCGCGACGCCGUCGACCGCUUCCCCUCCGUCCGCGCCGCCGAGGUCAAGGGCAAGCCCCACUUCGCCGACUUCGGGCUCGUCCCGCCCGCCUGGGGCGCCGAGGCCGCGCCCUGGGUCGCCGCCGCCGCCGACGGCUGGCCGCUGCUCGAGGAGCUCAGCUUCAAGCGCAUGGUCGUCACCGACGAGUGCCUGGAGAUGAUCGCCUCCUCCUUCAGGAACUUCCAGGUCCUGCGCCUCGUCUCAUGCGAGGGAUUCAGCACCGCCGGCCUCGCCGCCAUUACCGAAGGUUGCAGGAAUUUAAGAGAACUUGACCUCCAAGAGAACUACAUUGAGGAUUGUUCCAGUCAUUGGCUCAGUUACUUUCCGGAAUCCUUUACUUCUCUGGAAACUCUGAACUUUUCAUGCUUAGAAGGGGAGGUCAAUUUCGCUGUACUCGAGCGGCUAGUGAGCAGAUGCCGCAACCUCAAGACUCUGAAGCUCAACAAUGCUAUCCCUCUUGACAAGGUUGCUAGCCUUCUUCGUAAGGCUCCGCAACUAGUAGAACUCGGAACUGGCAAAUUCUCUGCUGAGUAUCAUUCGGAUCUCUUUGCAAAGCUCGAAGCGGCAUUUGCAGGUUGUAAAAGCCUGAGAAGGCUCUCUGGGGCUUGGGAUGCUGUGCCAGAUUACCUGCCAGCAUUCUACUGUGUAUGUGAAGGCCUCACAUCACUCAAUCUGAGUUAUGCUACUGUGCGAGGCCCUGAGCUAAUAAAAUUUAUUAGCAGAUGCAAGAAUCUGCAGCAAUUAUGGGUGAUGGACCUAAUCGAGGACCAUGGUCUAGCUGUCGUGGCAGGCUCUUGCAGUAAACUGCAAGAGCUGCGGGUCUUCCCGUCUGACCCUUUUGGUGCCGGGCAAGUUUUAUUGACUGAAAGAGGCCUGGUUGAUGUUUCUGCCAGUUGCCCCAUGUUGGAGUCAGUUCUCUACUUCUGCGGCCAGAUGACGAAUGAGGCCCUCAUUACAAUUGCAAAGAACCGUCCCAACUUCACUUGCUUCCGGUUAUGCAUCCUUGAGCCCCGUACUCCAGAUUACGUCACACGGGAGUCUCUUGAUGCUGGCUUCAGUGCCAUUGUGGAAUCAUGCAAGGGCCUUAGGCGCCUCUCUGUGUCUGGCCUUCUUACAGAUCUCGUGUUCAAAUCAAUCGGUGCAAAUGGUAAUUGUCUUGAGAUGCUGUCAAUUGCCUUUGCUGGGAACAGUGAUCUUGGCCUGCAUUAUAUCCUCUCUGGCUGCAAGACCCUGAAGAAGCUGGAGAUCAGGGACUGCCCAUUUGGAAAUAAGCCGUUGCUGGCAAAUGCUGCCAAGCUGGAGACAAUGCGAUCCCUUUGGAUGUCGUCGUGCUCAUUGACCCUGGGCGCAUGCCGACAGCUUGCAGAGAAGAUGCCCCGCCUUACCGUGGAGAUAAUGAACGAUCCUGGACGAACAUGCCCUGUGGAGUCACUUCCGGAUGAUAGCCCGGUCGAGACAUUGUAUGUGUAUCGGACAAUUGCCGGUCCAAGGUCCGACACACCAGAUUAUGUCCAGAUUGUUUAA
RNAcentral lists this ribosomal RNA (1803 nucleotides) under Triticum aestivum (bread wheat). RNAcentral's name for it is "partial small subunit ribosomal RNA". Lineage: Eukaryota; Viridiplantae; Streptophyta; Magnoliopsida; Poales; Poaceae. The record is from RNAcentral.